RNAcentral lists this long non-coding RNA (199 nucleotides) under Medicago truncatula (barrel medic). Its description in RNAcentral is "long non-coding RNA (MTRU_LNC007470)". Lineage: Eukaryota; Viridiplantae; Streptophyta; Magnoliopsida; Fabales; Fabaceae. The record is from RNAcentral.
GCAGCGGACGUAUGUCAUCGGGGGGCUGAUGAUGCACAACCAGAUUGGCAUGAGAAGAAGCUCCCAACUUUGCGAGAAAAUCAGCACAUUUGUUUCCUUCUCGUAACGUGUGAUGAAGAGACACACCAUCCUGCAGUAGCUGUUCUUGAAUUUCAUGAAGUAGGACCGCAUAGACGUGGUAAUUGGGGGAUGCAUCCUU